RNAcentral lists this transfer RNA (69 nucleotides) under Sundasciurus lowii (Low's squirrel). RNAcentral describes it as "tRNA-Lys". It matches the Rfam family "tRNA". From Rfam's summary of the family: Transfer RNA (tRNA) molecules are approximately 80 nucleotides in length. Lineage: Eukaryota; Metazoa; Chordata; Mammalia; Rodentia; Sciuridae. The record is from RNAcentral.
CAUUAUGAAGCUAACUUAGCAUUAACCUUUUAAGUUAAAGAUUAGGAGUGCAAGCCUCCUCAUAAUGAG